UAGGUCAAAGCCCGCUGGAUUGGGCGGCUGGUUGUUAACUAGUAUUWUGCGGGAUCGAGGCCCGUUGGCUUAG
Molecule: transfer RNA, 73 nt
Filed under: Phyllodactylus tuberculosus (yellowbelly gecko)
Lineage: Eukaryota; Metazoa; Chordata; Lepidosauria; Squamata; Phyllodactylidae
Description: tRNA-Asn
Source: RNAcentral